GGAAGUGUAAGUCGUGACAACGGUGCUCCGCCUGGUGAACCACCGGAGGAUCACAACAGAGAGUACGCCUACAACCCCCUGUGAACAACCACAACUGUGCUCGCCGGGUAGGGUGCCCCGGACCCUCCCGGCCUCCCGCCCCCCCGGGCGGGUCGGCGCCCGCCGGAGGAUAACCAAACUCUGAUUAACGACGUUUCUUCUGAGUGGUACAAGCAAAUAAUCAAAACUUUUAACAACGGAUCUCUUGGUUCUGGCAUCGAUGAAGAACGCAGCGAAAUGCGAUAAGUAAUGUGAAUUGCAGAAUUCAGUGAAUCAUCGAAUCUUUGAACGCACAUUGCGCCCGCCAGCAUUCUGGCGGGCAUGCCUGUUCGAGCGUCAUUUCAACCCUCAAGCUCUGCUUGGUGUUGGGGCCCUACAGCUGAUGUAGGCCCUCAAAGGUAGUGGCGGACCCUCCCGGAGCCUCCUUUGCGUAGUAACUUUACGUCUCGCACUGGGAUCCGGAGGGACUCUUGCCGUAAAACCCCCCAAUUUUCCAAAGUGACCUCGGAUCAGGUAGAACCGGUA
This 564-nucleotide ribosomal RNA is filed under the name Colletotrichum fragariae. RNAcentral's name for it is "eukaryotic LSU rRNA". The stretch from base 225 to 378 matches the Rfam family "5.8S ribosomal RNA". The record is from RNAcentral. Lineage: Eukaryota; Fungi; Ascomycota; Sordariomycetes; Glomerellales; Glomerellaceae.